RNAcentral lists this ribosomal RNA (465 nucleotides) under uncultured bacterium. RNAcentral describes it as "partial 16S ribosomal RNA". It matches the Rfam family "Bacterial small subunit ribosomal RNA", at positions 338 to 795 of the family's 1533-position model. The record is from RNAcentral.
CCUACGGGUGGCAGCAGUAGGGAAUCUUCCACAAUGGGCGAAAGCCUGAUGGAGCAACGCCGCGUGGGUGAAGAAGGUCUUCGGAUCGUAAAACCCUGUUGUUAGAGAAGAAAGUGCGUGAGAGUAACUGUUCACGUUUCGACGGUAUCUAACCAGAAAGCGACGGCUAACUACGUGCCAGCAGCCGCGGUAAUACGUAGGUGGCAAGCGUUAUCCGGAGUUAUUGGGCGUAAAGGGAACGCAGGCGGUCUUUUAAGUCUGAGGUGAAAGCCUUCGGCUUAACCGGAGUAGGGCAUUGGAAACUGGGAGACUUGAGUGCAGAAGAGGAGAGUGGAACUCCAUGUGUAGCGGUGAAAUGCGUAGAUAUAUGGAAGAACACCAGUGGCGAAAGCGGCUUUCUGGUCUGUAACUGACGCUGAGGUUCGAAAGCGUGGGUAGCAAACAGGAUUAGAUACCCUUGUAGUC